GGGUUGUGAGGUUAAGCGACUAAGCGUACACGGUGGAUGCCCUGGCAGUCAGAGGCGAUGAAGGACGUGCUAAUCUGCGAUAAGCGCCGGUAAGGUGAUAUGAACCGUUAUAACCGGCGAUUUCCGAAUGGGGAAACCCAGUGUGACUCGUCACACUAUCAUUAACUGAAUCCAUAGGUUAAUGAGGCGAACCGGGGGAACUGAAACAUCUAAGUACCCCGAGGAAAAGAAAUCAACCGAGAUUCCCCCAGUAGCGGCGAGCGAACGGGGAGGAGCCCAGAGCCUGAAUCAGCAUGUGUGUUAGUGGAAGCGUCUGGAAAGGCGCGCGAUACAGGGUGACAGCCCCGUACACAAAAGCGCAUGUGCUGUGAGCUCGAUGAGUAGGGCGGGACACGUGGUAUCCUGUCUGAAUAUGGGGGGACCAUCCUCCAAGGCUAAAUACUCCUGACUGACCGAUAGUGAACCAGUACCGUGAGGGAAAGGCGAAAAGAACCCCGGCGAGGGGAGUGAAAAAGAACCUGAAACCGUGUACGUACAAGCAGUGGGAGCACCCUUUGGGGUGUGACUGCGUACCUUUUGUAUAAUGGGUCAGCGACUUAUAUUCUGUAGCAAGGUUAACCGAAUAGGGGAGCCGGAGGGAAACCGAGUCUUAAUUGGGCGUUAAGUUGCAGGGUAUAGACCCGAAACCCGGUGAUCUAGCCAUGGGCAGGUUGAAGGUUGGGUAACACUAACUGGAGGACCGAACCGACUAAUGUUGAAAAAUUAGCGGAUGACCUGUGGCUGGGGGUGAAAGGCCAAUCAAACCGGGAGAUAGCUGGUUCUCCCCGAAAGCUAUUUAGGUAGCGCCUCGUGAAUUCAUCUCCGGGGGUAGAGCACUGUUUCGGCUAGGGGGCCAUCCCGGCUUACCAACCCGAUGCAAACUGCGAAUACCGGAGAAUGUUAUCACGGGAGACACACGGCGGGUGCUAACGUCCGUCGUGAAGAGGGAAACAACCCAGACCGCCAGCUAAGGUCCCAAAGUCAUGGUUAAGUGGGAAACGAUGUGGGAAGGCCCAGACAGCCAGGAUGUUGGCUUAGAAGCAGCCAUCAUUUAAAGAAAGCGUAAUAGCUCACUGGUCGAGUCGGCCUGCGCGGAAGAUGUAACGGGGCUAAACCAUG
Molecule: ribosomal RNA, 1158 nt
Filed under: Salmonella enterica
Lineage: Bacteria; Pseudomonadati; Pseudomonadota; Gammaproteobacteria; Enterobacterales; Enterobacteriaceae
Description: partial 23S ribosomal RNA
Rfam family: Bacterial large subunit ribosomal RNA
Source: RNAcentral